Molecule: transfer RNA, 73 nt
Filed under: Trichonephila clavata
Lineage: Eukaryota; Metazoa; Arthropoda; Arachnida; Araneae; Nephilidae
Rfam family: tRNA
About the family: Transfer RNA (tRNA) molecules are approximately 80 nucleotides in length.
Source: Rfam by way of RNAcentral
GUCCCUGUAGCGCAAAGGAUAGCUCGUUGGACUUCUAAUCCAAAGGUUGUGUGUUCGAAUCCCACAUGGGAUG